Molecule: ribosomal RNA, 490 nt
Filed under: uncultured bacterium
Lineage: Bacteria
Description: partial 16S ribosomal RNA
Rfam family: Bacterial small subunit ribosomal RNA
Source: RNAcentral
AUUGAACGCUGGCGGCAGGCCUAACACAUGCAAGUCGAACGGUAACAGGAAGAAGCUUGCUUCUUUGCUGACGAGUGGCGGACGGGUGAGUAAUGUCUGGGAAACCGCCUGAUGGAGGGGGAUAACUACUGGAAACGGUAGCUAAUACCGCAUAACGUCGCAAGACCAAAAAGGGGGACCUUCCGGCCUCUCGCCAUCGGAUGUGCCCAGAUGGGAUUAGCUAGUAGGUGGGGUAACGGCUCACCUAGGCGACGAUCCCUAGCUGGUCUGAGAGGAUGACCAGCCACACUGGAACUGAGACACGGUCCAGACUCCUACGGGAGGCAGCAGUGGGGAAUAUUGCACAAAGGGCGCAAGCCUGAUGCAGCCAUGCCGCGUGUAUGAAGAAGGCCUUCGGGUUGUAAAGUACUUUCAGCGGGGAGGAAGGGAAUAAAGUUAAUACCUUUGCUCAUUGACGUUACCCGCAGAAGAAGCACCGGCUAACUCCGUG